This 454-nucleotide ribosomal RNA is filed under the name Diastylopsis sp. PR-2011. RNAcentral's name for it is "partial 16S ribosomal RNA". It matches the Rfam family "Bacterial large subunit ribosomal RNA", at positions 1832 to 2571 of the family's 2925-position model. Lineage: Eukaryota; Metazoa; Arthropoda; Malacostraca; Cumacea; Diastylidae. The record is from RNAcentral.
GUCCUUCUUGAAUUUAUAAAAGGUCGAGCCUGCUCACUGAAAAUUUAAAGAGCUGCAGUAUUUUAACUGUACUAAGGUAGCAUAAUAAAUUGGCCUUUAAUUAAGGUCUUGAAUGAAAGGCCUGACGUUUACAACCUAUUCACUUGUUUAUGUAAAUUUAAUUUUUUGUGAAAAUUCAAAAAUAUUUUUAAAAGACGAUAAGACCCUAUAAAAUUUAACUGUUUAAAUAGUUUUAGUUAAAUGGAAAUACAGUUUAGUUGGGGAGACUUUUUCAAAAAUCUAUCUGUUAAAAUUUAGUCCACUUAUAAGUGUUUUUAUUGACCCUACAUAUAGCAAAUAAAUUUAAUUACUUUAGGGAUAACAGCGUAAUUUUUUUUAGAGUUCUAAUCGAAGAAAAAGUUUGCGACCUCGAUGUUGAAUUAAGAAUCCUUUUUAAUGCAGCAGUUAAAAAAGG